UGGGGAAUUUUGGACAAUGGGCGCAAGCCUGAUCCAGCCAUGCCGCGUGCGGGAAGAAGGCCUUCGGGUUGUAAACCGCUUUUGUCAGGGAAGAAACGCUCUGGGCUAAUACCCUGGGGUAAUGACGGUACCUGAAGAAUAAGCACCGGCUAACUACGUGCCAGCAGCCGCGGUAAUACGUAGGGUGCAAGCGUUAAUCGGAAUUACUGGGCGUAAAGCGUGCGCAGGCGGUUAUGCAAGACAGAUGUGAAAUCCCCGGGCCCAACCUGGGAAAUGCGUUUGAUACUGUCGAGCUAGAGUGUGGAAGGGGCGAUUGGAAUUCCGUGUGUAGCAGUGAAAUGCGUAGAUAUGCGGAGGAACACCGAUGGCGAAGGCAAUCCCCUGGACCUGUACUGACGCUCAUGCACGAAAGCGUGGGGAGCAAACAGGAUUAGAUACCCGAGUAGUCCCUGAGCGGGCUGGCAAGGCGCAU
RNAcentral lists this ribosomal RNA (472 nucleotides) under uncultured bacterium. Its description in RNAcentral is "bacterial SSU rRNA". It matches the Rfam family "Bacterial small subunit ribosomal RNA", at positions 355 to 825 of the family's 1533-position model. The record is from RNAcentral.